RNAcentral lists this ribosomal RNA (330 nucleotides) under uncultured eukaryote. RNAcentral describes it as "partial 18S ribosomal RNA". It matches the Rfam family "Eukaryotic small subunit ribosomal RNA", at positions 1470 to 1796 of the family's 1831-position model. The record is from RNAcentral.
CCCUUAGAUGUUCUGGGCCGCACGCGCGCUACACUGAUGCCUUCAACGAGUCUAAAACCUGGUCUGAUAGGGCUGGGUAAUCUUUUGAAUGUGCAUCGUGAUUGGGAUAGAUGAUUGCAAUUCUUCAUCUUCAACGAGGAAUGCCUAGUAAACGCAAGUCAUCAGCUUGCAUUGAUUACGUCCCUGCCCUUUGUACACACCGCCCGUCGCUCCUACCGAUUGAAUGUUCCGAUGAAUACCAUGGACUGAGAGUAUGAAUGGGUUCGCCUAUUUCUGCUUCUCGGGAAGUGGAGUAAAUCUUAACAUUUAGAGGAAGGAGAAGUCGUAACA